Molecule: ribosomal RNA, 401 nt
Filed under: uncultured bacterium
Lineage: Bacteria
Description: bacterial SSU rRNA
Rfam family: Bacterial small subunit ribosomal RNA
Source: RNAcentral
AUUGAACGCUGGCGGCAUGCUUUACACAUGCAAGUCGAACGGCAGCACGGGUGCUUGCACCUGGUGGCGAGUGGCGGACGGGUGAGUAAUACAUCGGAACGUGUCCAGAAGAGGGGGAUAACGCAUCGAAAGAUGUGCUAAUACCGCAUAUACUCUAAGGAGGAAAGCAGGGGAUCGAAAGACCUUGCGCUUUUGGAGCGGCCGAUGUCUGAUUAGCUAGUUGGUGGGGUAAGGGCCUACCAAGGCGACGAUCAGUAGUUGGUCUGAGAGGACGACCAGCCACACUGGGACUGAGACACGGCCCAGACUCCUACGGGAGGCAGCAGUGGGGAAUUUUGGACAAUGGGCGCAAGCCUGAUCCAGCAAUGCCGCGUGAGUGAAGAAGGCCUCGGUUGUAAGAC